AUACGUAUGUCGCAAGCGUUAUCCGGAUUUAUUGGGCGUAAAGCGCGUCUAGGCGGCUUAGUAAGUCUGAUGUGAAAAUGCGGGGCUCAACCCCGUAUUGCGUUGGAAACUGCUAAACUAGAGUACUGGAGAGGUAGGCGGAACUACAAGUGUAGAGGUGAAAUUCGUAGAUAUUUGUAGGAAUGCCGAUGGGGAAGCCAGCCUACUGGACAGAUACUGACGCUAAAGCGCGAAAGCGUGGGUAGCAAACAGGAUUAGAUACCCUGGUAGUCCACGCCGUAAACGAUGAUUACUAGGUGUUGGGGGUCGAACCUCAGCGCCCAAGCUAACGCGAUAAGUAAUCCGCCUGAGGAGUACGUACGCAAGUAUGAAACUCAAAGGAAUUGACGGGG
RNAcentral lists this ribosomal RNA (392 nucleotides) under uncultured bacterium. RNAcentral's name for it is "partial 16S ribosomal RNA". It matches the Rfam family "Bacterial small subunit ribosomal RNA", at positions 523 to 918 of the family's 1533-position model. The record is from RNAcentral.